This 832-nucleotide ribosomal RNA is filed under the name Hyalessa maculaticollis. RNAcentral's name for it is "SSU rRNA". It matches the Rfam family "Eukaryotic small subunit ribosomal RNA", at positions 47 to 781 of the family's 1831-position model. The record is from RNAcentral. Lineage: Eukaryota; Metazoa; Arthropoda; Insecta; Hemiptera; Cicadidae.
AGCCAUGCAAGUCUCAGUACAUGCCGCACUAAGGUGAAACCGCAAAAGGCUCAUUAAAUCAGUUAUGGUUCCUUGGAUCUUAAACAGUUACUUGGAUAACUGUGGUAAUUCUAGAGCUAAUACAUGCAAACAAGUCCCGACCAGAGAUGGGAGGGACGCUUUUAUUAGAUCAAAACCGAUCGGCGUCCGGCUCCGGCCGGCGCCGUCUCUUUUGGUGACUCUGGAUAACUUUUAGCCGAUCGCACGGUCACAGUACCGGCGACGCAUCUUUCAAAUGUCUGACUUAUCAACUGUCGAUGGUAGGCUCUGCGCCUACCAUGGUUGUAACGGGUAACGGGGAAUCAGGGUUCGAUUCCGGAGAGGGAGCCUGAGAAACGGCUACCACAUCCAAGGAAGGCAGCAGGCGCGCAAAUUACCCACUCCCGGCACGGGGAGGUAGUGACGAAAAAUAACGAUACGGGACUCAUCCGAGGCCCCGUAAUCGGAAUGAGUACACUUUAAAUACUUUAACGAGUACCAAUUGGAGGGCAAGUCUGGUGCCAGCAGCCGCGGUAAUUCCAGCUCCAAUAGCGUAUAUUAAAGUUGUUGCGGUUAAAAAGCUCGUAGUUGGAUCUGUGUGCCACGCUGUCGGUUCACCGCCUGUCGGUGUCAACUGGCAUGUCUGUGGGACGUCCUGCCGGUGGCGGUACGGGCUGCCGGCGCUGCGUAGGGGCUCGCCCCCGAAGCACGCCGGCGUGUCCCGGUCCGCCGAUCCAAUCCCGCCGCGGUGCUCUUCACUGAGUGUCGAGGUGGGCCGGCACGUUUACUUUGAACAAAUUAGAGUGCUCAAAUC